AGUGCAAGUGUCCUUGUGCCCUGGUGCCUGAUAUCCAGCUCCGGCAGCCUAGAAAAUCAGUUAGGCUUUUCAGUCACAGCACCCUCUGUGACAAACGUGUGGAGCACCGCACGACUUCUUCAACCAGCUGGUUUUUCUGGCAUUCGAAUAAAAGUAAAAAUAGAAAACAAAGAGGGAGAAGAAAAGUGACAAGCUGAAACCUGCGAAGAGAAAGAGGACAAGAAAUGAACAAGUUGAUCUGGUCUUGAGGGAGGAGGAGGCACAGGAACACAGUAAAGGAACCUAUCUGAGGAGCUGCAGACAUGAACCAACAAAGCCAGAAGAGCCUGAAGCAAUACUGCAAGUGGGUGCUUUGGUACUGCUUUGAAGCAUCUUUCCAGACUCUGCAGUAGCCAAGGCCUGUGACUCCAGUCCCUGAGAAAGUACCAUCAGGAGCAAUACGAGUCCUGUCCAUCUCUGAAAACAUGCUGCUGAUGUUGGAUUAAUAGUUAGACAAACAACUAAGAAGAUCAGAAGUAACAUGCUACUUUGGGUGUUGCAAAAUGACUGGACGCUACCUGUCAUCAAACCAUAGUUUACUCUCCACUUCAACAUAAAUCAAUAGCCUGCUUUUACCUCAAUGAUCAGUUGCUGCAGGGGAAAAAAGUAAGCUUCAAUUUAGACGCUGUCAAAUAUAUGGCCAACUUGCCACCUCUCUCUUCUCCUUGUUCCUGGAACAUGUUGCUAAUUGCUAUGGUGUUCCUGCCACACUCUGAUGUGAUUAUGGAAUCAGCCUCAGCACAAUGCUAUAGGCAGCCACUAAUAAGGGAUUGGAGUGGGGAGGCUGAUUGAAAUUGUUCCCCAAGACAGUAAGCAUAAUAUGUUCUCAUCUGCUUUGAUAGACUCUAAAUUGUAUACACAGUGUGGAUUUUGUGAUACUCAAUAAAAAGCUUCUAGGAAAGA
This 942-nucleotide long non-coding RNA is filed under the name Homo sapiens (human). RNAcentral describes it as "HSALNT0313227". Lineage: Eukaryota; Metazoa; Chordata; Mammalia; Primates; Hominidae. The record is from RNAcentral.